GAUGAAGAACGUAGCGAAAUGCGAUAAGUAAUGUGAAUUGCAGAAUUCAGUGAAUCAUCGAAUCUUUGAACGCACAUUGCGCCCGCCAGUAUUCUGGCGGGCAUGCCUGUUCGAGCGUCAUUUCAACCAUCAAGCCCCCGGCUUGUGUUGGAGCCCUGCGGCUGCCGCAGCCUCCCAAAACCAGUGGCGGGCUCGCUAUCACACCGAGUGCAGUAGUUUACUCUUCGCUCAGGGCGUGUGGCGGGUGCUAGCCGUGAAACCCCCAACUUCUCAAGGUUGACCUCGGAUCAGGUAGGAAUACCCGCUGAACUUAAGCAUAUCAAUAAGCGGAGGA
This 334-nucleotide unclassified non-coding RNA is filed under the name soil metagenome. RNAcentral describes it as "partial contains 5.8S ribosomal RNA, internal transcribed spacer 2, and large subunit ribosomal RNA". The stretch from base 1 to 120 matches the Rfam family "5.8S ribosomal RNA", at positions 35 to 154 of the family's 154-position model. The record is from RNAcentral.